AUACGGAGGGUGCAAGCGUUGUUCGGAAUUAUUGGGCGUAAAGCGCGUGUAGGCGGUUUCUUAAGUCUGAUGUGAAAGCCCCGGGCUCAACCUGGGAAGUGCAUUGGAAACUGGGGGACUUGAGUACGGGAGAGGGUAGUGGAAUUCCUAGUGUAGGAGUGAAAUCCGUAGAUAUUAGGAGGAACACCGGUGGCGAAGGCGGCUACCUGGUCUGUAACUGACGCUCAAGCACGAAAGCGUGGGGAGC
RNAcentral lists this ribosomal RNA (247 nucleotides) under uncultured bacterium. RNAcentral's name for it is "partial 16S ribosomal RNA". It matches the Rfam family "Bacterial small subunit ribosomal RNA", at positions 523 to 769 of the family's 1533-position model. The record is from RNAcentral.